RNAcentral lists this unclassified non-coding RNA (1961 nucleotides) under Leishmania donovani. Its description in RNAcentral is "gene:unknown". The record is from RNAcentral. Lineage: Eukaryota; Euglenozoa; Kinetoplastea; Trypanosomatida; Trypanosomatidae.
GACCCUGGAAUAGCAAUCCACAGCCAGCAAGAACCACAAACACCAAAUCGCCAGUCGUUAUAAGCAGGCAAGGCAAAACACAGGCAUACGGUAACACCUCCCUCUCUCUCUCGCACGCCGGCACACAGACACUCGCUCGCGCGCUCUCGCAGCACCUCAUUCUUCAUUUUUUUUUGUCCCCGCGCAGGCGCGGGCGAACGCGCACACAGAAACGAUCAGAAGAGGCAGAGGCUCCUCUCCUCCCCGCUUGCGAUCUACAGCCUUUCCUCAUCCCCCUCCCCCCAUCUACACCGCUUUCUUCUUCGGCCUCAGACGCACACAGACGCAUACACCACCUACUCUUUGUUUUCGUUUUUUCCUCCUUUUGUUUGCCCUUCUUUCUCCCUAUCAUUGAGAUCCACCCACCAUACCUCCCACACACACACACCUCCCUCCCUCCCCCUCCCCCUCCCCCCAUCCCUGCGCGCAGAAACCCCAACACGCACGGUUCUCUUCUGUCUUAAUAUUUUCUCUAGAAAAGACUUCGGUUACAUUCUCUCUCUUGGUGUGUUGUGUUGCGUUGCUUUUCGCUUCUCGUGCCGCCAUCCUUUGCUUGUUGGUGCUCCGUCUCUCCCUCGUUGUGCUGGUGUGCGUGCGCGUUGCCCACUCCCCCCCCCCUCCCCUCCUUCGGCUUGCCUGUCUGUUUGUUCGUUCGCGUCUCUGUGCCACGUCAUCGCGGUUGUUACGCAUCAUCACCAGCGCCGUCAUUAUUAACACUGUCACCCCCCCCUAACUCCCACCCUUCUCCCCCUCUAUCACUGCUUCCCCCCCCCCUCCUCCUCCCUCCCUCCCUUUUCUUCUCUCUACGUAUUUGCUGUCCCACCCUCCCACUCUGUCUGUCCCCGUCUUUCGCUUGUGCUCGUGUCUUCGCGGUCGCCAUCUCUCUUUCGCCUGUGCCUGUGCCUGUGCCUCUUAGCGCACUGCUGGCAGCGUUCACUUACGUCUCUCUCUCUUGUGCUUGGGCUUUUUGCUUUCGGUGUUUGGGCGGCGUCUGCCAAAAAAGGGGGGAAACACGCGUCGUCGCCUCCCGCUGUUGUCUCGUCACUCUUCUCCUUCCUGGGGCUCUUUGCUUAGCUUUCUGUGCUUCUCGACCUCCCGCUGUCCCUCCUGUGCGUGCGUGGGGCGUCACCGAGUAGAAAGGGGUGCGUGCUUGGCUCGGCACGUGCGUCUCUGUGUUGAGGACAGGUGUGGCACGUGCAUCUCCGUGUUCAUGUAUACAUUCCCUGUGUCUUCAUCUUCCAUUCUUUUUGGAUUUUCCUAUUAGUGCCGACGUUUCCACCGUCGCUGCGGUUGAGGGUGGAGCGGUCGUCCCGCCAACCAGCAUCUGCCUUGCCCGAAACGGUUCGUUCGCGUUGCGUGUGUGUGGCUCUUCGUCGGUCGGUCGGUCGCCUCUCGCUCUGUGCUCCUUCGCGCUCCUUCCUUCAGCUGUGGCGUGUUGUCUGUUCCUCUCGUCGAAGGCCAACACCGGCCAACGCCGAAAAACUCGCCAUCUAAGACGAACCGACGAGGGCGCUCAGACACACACACUGCAUCGAGAGAGUGAGCAGAGGGGGUCUGCUGUCCUUCUCUAGCACUUCGCUUACAGAGCAGCCACCCCCUUCUCUCCCUGCACAACACAGCAUUUCUUAGCUCGAGUGAGGUGGUUACCGCUCUCGAGCGUCCCGCGUACUCGCAGGCAGCACGUACACACAGUGGCCAGAGGAGCUGCCGCAACCGGCCACCACACCCGCGUGCACUCUCCGCUUGCUUAUUUUUAUUUUUUUUUGUUCGGAGAGGGUCGAGAGUAGGGCGUUUGCUUUUCGCUCGCGUUGCAUCUUCGCAACACGCAGCGCUGCUGUUUUUCGAAGUGCCGAGCAGAGAAGCGGCAGGAAGAGAAUCAGAGUCGCUCAAGUUGGGUUGCUCGGUUCAGGUCCUUUGUUUGU